Long non-coding RNA from Nerophis ophidion (straightnose pipefish), 2388 nucleotides. RefSeq lists it as uncharacterized. The record is from RefSeq and is a predicted model, not a curated record. Lineage: Eukaryota; Metazoa; Chordata; Actinopteri; Syngnathiformes; Syngnathidae. The transcript has 2 exons.
UUAGUGUCAAAAAUGUGACCCAUUCCCACCCCCUUUUUAAAAAAAAAUGUUUUUAUUCUGGUUGUUUUCGUCAGCAGGUUCACUUUUUACUUUGGUGUGUGCUUCACUUUUGUUUUAGUUUGUUUGCAUGGGAGUCAAAGUGUGUUAGAAGUUUCAUUUGUGUUGGCGCCUCAGGCAUACCGGUCAACGUUUCCAAAUAUGGGACAUUUCCUGGGUCAAGAAAGGUUUUUUAUUUUCAUCACAAAGGGUAGUUAAAUCCGUAAAAAAAAAAAAGAAAAAUAUAUGGAUAAUACAUGCCUUCAAUGGGAUUCAAACCUGUGUCUGCUAUUGCCCAAAUAGGCUUGACAAAACCCUUCAAAAAAAGGUGGCUUGUGUAUGUAGUACUCCUGCCUCACCACAGGGGGCAACAGUGAGGCAUGUAUGUCACAGUGAAGCAGGUUUUUUUUGUUAUUUUUGUGUAGGUUGUCUAUUUUUUUUCAAGGACCGAUACCCACUAGUCUUGCACAUGCUGGAGUCGUACAAACCCGAUCACUUUUUUUUUUUUUUUUUAGAAUGAAAGUGUAAAUAAAAAGUAAUAGUAAAAAUUUAAAAAAAGGUAAAUAGAAGGUACAUCAAAGGUAGUAAAUCAAAGGUAGAAAGUGAACAGAAGGUAUUAGACGAUUAAAAAAUGAAUACAAUGUAAUAAAAAUGUAUUAAAAGUUAACUAAAGAGGUAUAAAAGAUAAAAACAAGGUAAAAGAUGGUCAAAGAAAAUAAAGUCAGUAAAAGGUGAAAAAAAGGGUAAAUACGGUGAAUAGAAGGUAGAGCAAAAGUAGUAAAUAAAAGGUAGAAAGUGAACACAAGGUAAUAAAAAGGUUAAAAAAAAUAACACAAAAGGUAAGACGAUAAACAAUGAGUAUAAUUUUAAUAAAAGUUUAAAAGGUAUAAAAUGAAUAUAAAAGGUAAAAGACCAUCAAAGAAAAUAAAUACAAAGUCAUUAAAAGGAGAGAAAAAAAAGGUACAGCAAAGGUAGUAAAUAAAAGGUAGAAAGUGAACAGAUGGUAAAAAAAUUAAAAAAAAAAAAAAGAAUAGAGAAGGUUAACAAAAGGUAAAAGAUGAUAAAAAUGGAUAGAAUGUAAAAUAAAAGUUAAAUAAAAAGGUAUAAAAGUAAUAUGGAAGGUAAAAACAAGGUAACAGACGGUCAAAGAAAAUAAAUAGAAAGUCAAAAGGUAAAGUAAAAAAAGGUAAAUAUAAGGUACAUGAAAGGUAGUAAAUUAAAGGUAGAAAGUGAACAGAUGGUAUUAAAAAGGUAAAAGACGAUUAAAAAAUGCAUAAAAUUUAAAUAAUGUAUUAAAAGUUAAUUAAAAAGGUAUAAAAGGUAAAAGACGGUCAAAGUAAAUAAAUAGUCAAGAGGUGAAAAAAAGGUAAAUAGAAGGUAAAUACGGUGAAAAGAAGGUGCAGCCAAAGUAAUAAAUAAAAGGUAGGAAGUGAACAGAAGGUAAUAAAAGGGUAAAAAAAAAAAGAACACAGAAGGUAAACAAAACGUAAGACUAUAAAAAUGAAUGUACUUUAAAUAAAAAUUUAAUAAAAGUUAAAAAGGUAUAAAAGGAAUAUAAAAGGUAAAAACAAGGUAAAAGAUGGUCAAAGAAAAUAAAUAGAAAGUCAAUAAAAAGAUUAAAAAAGUGUAAAUAAGGUAAAUAGAAGGUAUAUCAAAGGUAGUAAAUAAAAGGUAAAAAAUUAACAGAAGGUAAUAAAAAGGUAAAAAAAUGAAUACAGAAGGUAAACAAAAGGUAAAAGACAAUAAAAAUGAAUAACAUGUAAAUAAAAAUGGAAUAACAGUUAAAUAUAAAGGUACAAAAUGAAUAUAAAAGGUAAAAACAAGGUAAAAGACGGUCAAAGAAAAUAAAUAGAAAGUCAAUAAAAAAAAAAAAAACAUAAAUAAGGUAAAUAGAAGGUACAUCAAAGGUAGUAAAUUAAAGGUAGAAAGUAAACAGAAAGUAAUAAAAAGGUAAAAGAUGAUUAAAAAGAAAUAAAAUGUAAAUAAAAAUGUAUUAAAAGUUAAUUAAAAAGGUAUAUAAGGUACAAACAAGGUAAAAGAUGGUCAAAGAAAAUAACUAAAGUCAAUAAAAGGUGAAAAAAGGUAAAUAGUAGGUCAAUGCGGUGAAUGGAAGGUACAACAAAAAUAGUAAAUUAAAGGUAGAUAGUGAACAGAAGGUAUUGAUAAGGUAAAAAAAACAAAGAAGGUAAACAAAAGGUGAGAUGAUCAAAAAUUUAUAUAAUUAAAAUAAAUAUGUAAUAAAAGUUAAAAAGGUAUAAAAAGAAUAAAAAAAGGUAAAAGACCAUCAAAUAAAAUAAUUAGAAAGUCAAUAAAAGGUAAAAAAAGAAAAAGGUAAGUAUAAGGUACAACAAA